UACGUAGGGGGCUAGCGUUGUCCGGAUUUAUUGGGCGUAAAGAGCGUGUAGGCGGCCAGAUAGGUCUGCUGUGAAAACUCGAGGCUCAACCUCGAGCUGUCGGCGGAAACCAUCCGGCUAGAGUCCGGAAGAGGAGAGUGGAAUUCCCGGUGUAGCGGUGAAAUGCGCAGAUAUCGGGAAGAACACCGAUGGCGAAGGCAGCUCUCUGGGACGGUACUGACGCUGAGACGCGAAAGCGUGGGGAGCGAACAGG
Molecule: ribosomal RNA, 253 nt
Filed under: uncultured bacterium
Lineage: Bacteria
Description: partial 16S ribosomal RNA
Rfam family: Bacterial small subunit ribosomal RNA
Source: RNAcentral